CGCACAUUGCGCCCGCGAGUAUUCUCGCGGGCAUGCCUGUCCGAGCGUCAUUUCAACCCUCAGGGCCCGCCUGCUUGCAGGCGCGGCGCUGGUGUUGGGGAUCGGCCUAACCGCCGUCCCCCAAAUACAGUGGCGGUCUCGCUGCAGCCUCCCCUGCGUAGUAGCAACACUCGCAUGCGGAGCGCGGCGCGGCCACGCCGUAAAACCCCCGACUUUCUGAACGUUGACCUCGGAUCAGGUAGGAAUACCCGCUGAACUUAA
This 261-nucleotide unclassified non-coding RNA is filed under the name Myrothecium gramineum. RNAcentral describes it as "partial contains 5.8S ribosomal RNA, internal transcribed spacer 2, and large subunit ribosomal RNA". Lineage: Eukaryota; Fungi; Ascomycota; Sordariomycetes; Hypocreales; Stachybotryaceae. The record is from RNAcentral.